RNAcentral lists this transfer RNA (85 nucleotides) under Felis catus (domestic cat). It matches the Rfam family "tRNA". From Rfam's summary of the family: Transfer RNA (tRNA) molecules are approximately 80 nucleotides in length. Lineage: Eukaryota; Metazoa; Chordata; Mammalia; Carnivora; Felidae. The record is from Rfam by way of RNAcentral.
GCCUGGUUGGCUCAGUCAGUUAAGCGUCCGACUUCAGCUCAGGUCACGAUCUAGCGGUCUGCGAGUUCGAGCCCCGCAUCGGGCU